This 433-nucleotide ribosomal RNA is filed under the name uncultured bacterium. Its description in RNAcentral is "partial 16S ribosomal RNA". It matches the Rfam family "Bacterial small subunit ribosomal RNA", at positions 29 to 507 of the family's 1533-position model. The record is from RNAcentral.
AACGAACGCUGGCGGCAGGCCUAACACAUGCAAGUCGAGCGAGAGCUUCGGGUCUAGCGGCGGACGGGGGAGUAACGCGUGGGAACGUGCCCUUGUCUAUGGACUAGCUCUGGGAAACGGGGAGUAAUACCGAAUACGCGCUUAUGGGGAAAGUUUUAUUGGAGAAGGAGCGGCACGCGUGAGAUAAGGUAGUGCGUGGGGUAAUGGCCCACCAAGCCGACGAUCCAUAGCUGGUUAGAGAGGAUGGUCAGCCACACUGGGACUGGGACACGGCCCGGACUCCUACGGGAGGCAGCAGUGGGGAAUCUUAGACAAUGGGGGCAACCCUGAUCUAGCCAUGCCGCGAAAGUGAUGAAGGCCUUAAGGUUGUAAAGCUCUUUCAGCUGGGAAGAUAAUGACGGUACCAGCAGAAGAAGCCCCGGCUAACUCCGUG